RNAcentral lists this ribosomal RNA (234 nucleotides) under Triticum aestivum (bread wheat). Its description in RNAcentral is "partial small subunit ribosomal RNA". Lineage: Eukaryota; Viridiplantae; Streptophyta; Magnoliopsida; Poales; Poaceae. The record is from RNAcentral.
AUGUACAUCUUGCCCGAAGGUGUACAUAGCUCCUUUGACAAGGAGCUGGCUAGGUUCUUCUGGCAGGCAAGGGAUGGUCGGCCCAAGUACCAUAUGGUGAAGUGGGCUGACAUAUGCUUGCCGAAGGACCGAGGUGGGUUGGGCAUCCCUGCGUCUCGCCGGAUGAACGUUGCGCUUAUGCUGCGUUGGGUUUGGCGGAUCUUGCGGGGAGAUGGGGUGUGUGGCUGCAGCUGA